Equus caballus (horse) is the source of this 2190-nucleotide long non-coding RNA. The record is from Ensembl. Lineage: Eukaryota; Metazoa; Chordata; Mammalia; Perissodactyla; Equidae.
AAUAUGGAUUCCGGUCUUUGCCCCGCUCCUGACCACGACGCCUAAACCUCUGUAAUUUCCUGAGUGAUAAGGUGCCGGGAGCAUCUGCUGUCCUAAUGUUUGGACCUUGACCCCGGUUCCCGACCCAGAGCUCCUUGUAACAUCCUGGGCGAUAGGAGCAUCUUUUGUUCUGACGAAGUGACUCUUGGUGGGUCCUGGAGCUUCAGGAUAGGGACUGGCCUCCAGAAAGACCACACCUCGAUUAGCAGCUGGAACUUGCAGCCUCACCUCCUGUUCCCCAGGGAGGGGGAGGGGCUGGAAGUGGAGUUAAUGACUGAUCAUGCCUUUGUGAUGAAGCCUCCCGAAAACCCCGACAGUGCAGGGCCUGGAGGGUUCCGGGCUGGGGAACGCAUCCACCUGCUGGGAGGGUGGUGCCCUCAAGACCAAGGGGACAGAAACUCCUGUGUUCUGACCCUUCUGGACCUAAUCACGUCUUCAGACCUUUAUCACAUCCUUUACUGUGUAAUAAACCAAUAAACAUGUCAAUUCCCUGAGUUCUGAGACGAUCCAGCAAACUAUUGAACCCAAGGAGGGGUCAUGAGCCCCCUGUCUUGUAGCUGAUCAGGAGCACAGGUGACAACCUGGGACUUGCAACUCGCGUCUGAAGUGGGGGCAGUCCUGUGGGGCUGAGCCUUAUCCUGUGGGAUCUGACGCCAACUGCACUGGAUAGUGUCAGAACUGAACCGAAUCCUAGGACACCCUGCAGGUGCUGGAGAAUUGAUCGUGCGGGAAAACCCGGACAUGUGCUGCCAGAAGUGAUGCGGGAGAGUGAGGAAAGAAGUGAGUUUUCCUAGACGUGGGCUUGGCCACGGACAGUCAUCACAAGUACUUCCCAUUUCGUCUUUUUUUCUUCCUGGUUUUUCCUCCAAGUGAAAGAUUCCUAGGAAGAAGUGAGCUGCUUGAUUAGUGCAUGCUAGGCAAGGCUGGGAGAAUUCAUUCCCCAUGACUUAUGGGGAAGAGGAAGCCCCAUAGUCACCCUGAAAGGAGGCGAGGAAGCCGCACAGUUGUCAGGAGGUGAGGAAGCCCCAUAGUUGCACUGUAAGGAGGUGAGGAGGCUGCACAGUCACCCUGUCAGGAGGUGAGGAGGCUGCAUAGUCAUCUUGUCAGGAGGUGAGGAGGCCACACCGUCACACUGUCAGGAGGUGAGGAGGCUCCAGUUGUCCUGUCAGGAGGUGAGGACACCACACAGCCACCCUGUCAGGAGGUGAAGAGGCUGCAUAGUCAUCUUGUCAGGAGGUGAGGAAGCCACGCAGUUGUCUUGUCAGGAGGUGAGGAGGCCACACGGUCAUCCUGCCAGGAGGGGAGAAAGCCACACAGUUGUCUCGUCAGGAGGUGAGGAAGCCACACAGUCGUCCUUCCAGGAGGUGAGGAAGCCACACAGUUGUCUUGUCAGGAGGUGAGGAGGCCACACGGUCGUCCUUCCAGGAGGUGAGGAAGCCACACAGUUGUCUUGUCAGGAGGUGAGGAAGCCACACGGUCAUCCUGCCAGGAGGUGAGGAGGCCGCACAGUCGUCUUCUCAGGAGGUGAGGAGGCCACACGGUCAUCCUUCCAGGAGGUGAGGAGGCCUCACAGUCAUCCUGUCAGGAAGCGAGGAGGACGCACCGCUGUCCUGUCUGGAGAUGAGGAGGCUCCACAGUUACCCUGUCAAGAAGUGAGGAGACCACACAGUGGUGCUAUCAGGAGAAAGAGCCUGUGAAACACGAAUUUUAACAGCAAAGUUCGGUCAUCAGAUCUGUUCACCUUCAGCAAACUUUUCGGGUCUAAAGAACUCCUUCUUUAUGGGUCGGGAUCCAAACUGGACUGUUUCUGAGACCCCUGCUCAUUCCAAACCGACUCCAUGCAAGGCCCUUACAGAGACGCAUGUGGUGUAAAACGAGGAAACACAGACUUGAGGGAACAAAGUGAGGAGAAAACAGGAGUAGAAAAAUAAUGCCGCCAGGGAAGUAUCUUCAGAAUGAAGUUCUGCUGCUGGAUCCCCGUCCGCUCGCGAGAGCGGCCGCAAGUCUGUGGAGGGUCUGAGAUUUCUCACGUGCGUGAGGUGAGACGCACAGGACACCUGGGGUUUGAACUCUGUCAGCUGAGCUUUUCAUACAAGAGGCCUCGAGGGACGAGGUGACAACCCCCUGCUCUCCCUGGUGCUACUCCUAGUG